Podarcis muralis (Common wall lizard) is the source of this 745-nucleotide non-coding RNA. The record is from RefSeq and is a predicted model, not a curated record. NCBI's taxonomy places the organism in Eukaryota, Metazoa, Chordata, Lepidosauria, Squamata, Lacertidae.
AAUCCUAUUCUACAAUACUAAUGACUCACCCACACUCAACGUUUAUAAUCACAGUUGUAUUUUAAGAAUUCCAUCUUACCCGGUUUCAUUCUUUUUAACAGAUUUCUUACUAUGUUCUGCUAUUUUUCUUCUUCUUAGACUUCAAGCCCUGCUGUGAACUUAGCCUAUGGAAAGUUACCAGAAGGGUUUUCCAGUCCUUGAAAGAGUCUAAACUUCUGUCUCUUAUCAGUGCCGUCAGUUUUGCCAUCUCUGCGUCUUCCAAGAUUUCCAUCAGGCGGUCUUCCUUUGAAGGCAAACUAGGUAUGUCAGAAGUUCUCCCUUCUCCAGAUCAAAUUCAGAAGUCAUCUAAUGCGGGUUGAGAUACACAGAAGAAGAAAAACAGACAUCAAUUUAAGAUGCCAAGCCUGAGCUCUGCAUGGAGCUGUCAAGAGUGCCAAUGAUGCCCCCUCGCCUCACCCAAACCUGAACCCUCAUCUACUGAGACUAUUGGGAGGGAAUAAAGUAGGUGAAUAAUGUUUUGGCAGCUGGGUCUGAUCUAGAGACAGUUGUACUUCAGUUGUGGGGAUUCUAGGGACCUUCACAGUGCUAUCCGGAACACUUGCUUCUGAACAUGCCCCUUGAACACAGUGAGACUUUUCUUCAAGGAAGCAUUCAUAGAAAGAGUGAACUUGUUAGUUGUGUGACCAACCUACCCGUUGAUUUUAAUAUGGCUUAAGUACUUUAUUUUUCCAUGUAUAAGACGCCC